Molecule: long non-coding RNA, 204 nt
Organism: Bufo bufo (common toad)
Lineage: Eukaryota; Metazoa; Chordata; Amphibia; Anura; Bufonidae
Exons: 3
Source: RefSeq, a predicted model, not a curated record
GUCAAGAUCCCCUGCUGACAUCUCCCUUUACUAUUGCCAACCAAUGACGUCCCAGGUGUGCUCGAUGGGAGACAAGUCCAGAGAUGCGGCAGGCCAUUGUAGCACGUUUUGGCCAUGCAGGCUGCUCACAGUAGCACAAGCAACAGGCAGCUUGGCAUUGUCCUGUUGAAAAUUGGCUCCUUGCACUCAUUGCAGAAGAGGCCG